GGACUUAAUUUAGAGAAAUCAGUAUUUUUGGACACCUCACGGGCAAAGAAACGCUAGCGAGAGGGCACGCGUCAACCAGGUGUUCACUGGCUGCUGGUCGAGGUAGAGGAGCGUUUGAGAGUUGUACAGUCACAGAGGGGGUCGUUCCGGAGCGUCAGUCCCUUUUCGGUCUUUUAGAGUCUUUUGUAUUUCAUUUUAUAUUUGCAAUUUCUUUUGUAAUAAUUAACAAACAAAAUUUCUCUCUUUUGUUUUAAUUCAAAGUAUUUUUAUAUUU
Molecule: non-coding RNA, 274 nt
Organism: Cucurbita pepo subsp. pepo (vegetable marrow)
Lineage: Eukaryota; Viridiplantae; Streptophyta; Magnoliopsida; Cucurbitales; Cucurbitaceae
Source: RefSeq, a predicted model, not a curated record